RNAcentral lists this ribosomal RNA (261 nucleotides) under uncultured bacterium. RNAcentral's name for it is "partial 16S ribosomal RNA". It matches the Rfam family "Bacterial small subunit ribosomal RNA", at positions 92 to 354 of the family's 1533-position model. The record is from RNAcentral.
UUAGUGGCGGACGGGUGAGUAACGCGUGGAUAACCUGCCGUAUACCGGGGGAUAACACUUAGAAAUAGGUGCUAAUACCGCAUAGGCGCACGGCUCCGCAUGGGGCAGUGUGAAAAACUCCGGUGGUAUACGAUGGAUCCGCGUCUGAUUAGCUAGUUGGCGGGGUAACGGCCACCAAGGCAGCGAUCAGUAGCCGGCCUGAGAGGGUGGACGGCCACAUUGGGACUGAGACACGGCCCAAACUCCUACGGGAGGCAGCAG